Molecule: long non-coding RNA, 3096 nt
Organism: Dermochelys coriacea (leatherback sea turtle)
Lineage: Eukaryota; Metazoa; Chordata; Testudines; Dermochelyidae
Exons: 3
Source: RefSeq, a predicted model, not a curated record
GCCACGCCUUCCGGGUUGCCGCCGCCAGCCAGGAGCCGGUUUCUGUUCCUGGGUCAGGAGGAGGCGCCGGCCGCGCGGAGGCCGAGCUCGGCGGCGCGGAUUCCAAGGGCCGGCUGCGCUGCCCCACAGCGAUAUUCUUAACCUUGCCCGGGGCUGGUUUUUUGUGGGGGCCGGGGGAGAGCUUAGGAGCGGGGAAAUAGUGAUACCCAGCGUCUCGCCUGCCGCAUGCACUGAGCGAGAAAAGGGACGGAGUUAGGAGAGAGGACUGCAAAAGGAACAUAAAGGAGGCUUUUCACCUGCUGACUAAAACGAGAGAGGAAAGGGCUGGGGGAGCUGGACAAUACCGGAGUAUUGAUCAUCCCCGGGCUCGGAUCCUGCAGACAUUUAUGCAUAUGCGUCUCAGCUCCUUGGCGCUAAGAUCAAGCGCAAGUUGUUUCUCGGCCUAUUAAAGGCUAUGAUCAAGUGGGUUUGAUGGGUUUGCUCUUUAGGCCCCGAGAUGAAAGCCUUGUCGGUGUCUCUUGGAUGGUGAACUGCAAGCUUUCUCUUUCCACCGAAUGCAUCCGAUGAAGUGAGCUGUGGCUCACGAAAGCUUAGGCUCAAAUAAAUUGGUUCGUCUCUAAGGUGCCACAAGUCCUCCUUUUCUUUUUGCGAAUACAGACUAACACGGCUGCUACUCUGAAGCCAAGCUUUAUCUUCUAAGCUAAUAUCUAAGUGUUUUAUACGGCCACCACCCAUCACCUUACUAUCUGAGCACCAUCUAUGUGAAAUAGAUUAGCAAGAGCAAAGUCCCUGCUAGACUUCCCAGCAUCUUCCUUUGAGGGGGGAAAAAAAACCUUCCUUGGGAGCGGGUUAUUUGUUGGUCUGUUUGUUCAUUUGGGGUCUGUUUCAGGACGGAGGAAUAGUAAAGGGUAUUGGUGUUGUGACUGCCAUUCUUGCUAUAUGGAAAGGCUUUAUCAAAGAGGAAGAUUUUGAAAUGUUUCCUAAAAAUGGGAAGACUCUGGAUUCAUUUAAUCUGGACCUUGAUUCCAUAGGCCUCCAUGGGGUUACUCCUAUGAAUAAAUUUACACAUGUGAGUAUGCAUUUGCAGGAUCAGAGCCUAAAUCUCUCCCUCUUAUGCCCCAAGCCCGGAAACACAAACUUAACUCCUAACCAGUCCCAUCAAUGGUAGUCAAGUUAAACACAUGCAUAAGUGAUCAGGACCUUAUGAUGAAUUUGUUAUUAGUGUGUUCCAAUGAAACAUUUUAAAUAUCAUUCAGUCAUCGUUUUAAAUUGUCCCUCAUUUCUGAAAAAAGAAAAGGAGGACUUGUGGCACCUUAGAGACUAACAAAUUUAUUUGAGCAUAAGCUUUCGUGAGCUACAGCUCACUUCAUCGGAUGCAUUUCUGAGAAGCAAUGAAUAUGCCCACGUGAUUUUUCAGAAAAAACCCUAAGAGUAGCAUUAAUCCAUGUGCAAUUUGUCAGUGAGGUGUAUUUAUUAACUUUUCAAUGUAUACAAAUGUUUUUGGGGAAAUCAGCUGCAAACAUUUUUCUUAUUUUAAAAUCAUUGGUGACAAUGAUGGGAUUAGAGCCUAAAUGUGUAUCCUGAACAUCUUAAUAACUAACAACUAAAUAGAAAAUCGCCUUUUUCUGAUUUUAUAUUUUUAAUUAUUUUUGUUGAAACUAUGAAAUUUAGCACCCAUCUCUUAAAAAACAAGUAACAUCUUUCUAUGAUAAAUAACUAAUCAGCUCCAACAUGCAGGAAGCAGCACUCCAUUGUGACAGGGCUGAGAUAAUAACAGCCAGAUAGAAAGUUCAUAGGAGGCUUAGGUUAAACAAAAUGAAAAAAUCCUCUUUGAAGUUUUCAGGUUUAUUGUUUUUGUAUCUAGCACAAUUAAAACAGCAACAAAACCCCCUCAGUGUCUCUGGACACAUUCCCUUCAUAAAACUUGAAAAACAGGACUAUCUGUAAACACAAAAUAAUAUAAACAGACCAACUCUUCCAUCUCUAGCAUUCCCUGUGCUGGCUCCUAGCCAAGCCCAUGCUUAUCGUGAGUGUGAAGCCCAGCCUCUUUGUAAAGUUCUGAGUUUUAUCUUAGCUCAGCAGCACCUAAUUAUUCCCCAGAUGAGCAUGCCUGGAUCACUUCUCAGUCAUAAACUGUAGGACUUGUCUACACAGCAAGUUACUGCACGGCAAGCCAGGGUAUGAAUCUGCAGUGUACCAGCGGACACUGCUACAGCACAAUGAAAGUCCUGGUGUGCAGUUUCUGGGACUUUCAUUGCACUGUCCAUGUGACAGGUAUGGCAAUUUCCUGCAAUAUCCUGGACGAACCUUACUGAAUUAAGUCGAUGUAUCAUUGUCCAGGGAUAUCAUUGACCAGGGCCAGGGAUUUUGUGUAAUUCCCAGGGAACAGGGGGACCAGUGCUACUCCAGGAACUAAAAACAGUGACGGGGGACAGAGGGUAGGCAAGUUCACUAAGCUUAUAACACCUCCAGAGAGGUACGCCCACUUGGAGAGAGGAUCACAUAUACUGGUCAGAUUGGAUUCUCUGGGGACCAACAGACAAAGAAAGGAUUUUUGGAUAAAUAGCCUGAGUUUAAACUGAUUCGGGGCCUUCUUUCUCAUCAAGCAAACCAUCCAACCGGACAUCUGAUCCAUGGGGGGCCCCAAUCCUUAGGGAAGGGUUGGAAGGAUUUGGCCCAGGCUGGGUGUUUGUUCUGAGAUGAAGCUGUCGUGAACUAGUGACCACAGGGAAACUCUGUAUAGGGUUUGAGGACUAAUGAUCAGCAAGAGGUCUUGUCAGAGCGGGUGGUGAUCUCUGAUGCAUGAGGAUAUGUAAACUGUUUACUUAAAUCUUUAACCGGAAAGUACCCAGGAGGGACUGUGUAAGAUUCCAGACAGAAGCUCUACCAUGAAGCAGAGUCAUCUAAGAACUUUAACUAUUUUAAAGGUCCAGGAUGUAAUAUCUGGGAUUUAAACUACGUGUCAAUACCUCUUUGAACUCAAGGCUGCCUCUGAAAGGAAGACAAAAUAGGGUACUGAUGAGGCAGAAAUGUCUAGCAGUUUCUUAAUAAAAAUCCUAAUGAAAAACUAAAAAUUGGCCAGUCUUCUUAAGCAAU